This 70-nucleotide transfer RNA is filed under the name Marmota monax (woodchuck). Its description in RNAcentral is "tRNA.Val". Lineage: Eukaryota; Metazoa; Chordata; Mammalia; Rodentia; Sciuridae. The record is from RNAcentral.
GCGGUUGUGGCUCAGUGGUAGAGCAUUGCCUCACAUGUAUGAGGCACUGGGUCCUAUUCUCAGCACCACA